GACGAACGCUGGCGGCGUGCUUAACACAUGCCAGUCGAACGGGCUCUGCCUGGCUGUGUGCUGGGCGGGGUUAGCGGCGAACGGGUGAGCAAUACGUGAGCAACCUGUCCUCUUUUUUGGGAUAAGACUUGGAUACGGGGACUACUACUUGAUAUUCCCGUCUGCUCGCAUGGCUGGGUGGGGAAAGUUCUUUUCGGUUGGGGCUGGACUCGCGGCAUCUCAGCUGGUUGGUGGGGUAGUGGCUUACCAAGGAGUUGACGGGUAGCCGGCCUGAGAGGGUGAGCGGCUACAUUGGGAAUGAGAUACGGCGCAGACUGCUACGGGAGGCAGCAGUGGGGAAUAUUGUACAAUGGGCGGAAGCCUGAUGCAGCAACGCCGCGUGCGGGAUGACGGCCUUCGGGUUGUAAACCGCAUUCGCCUGUGACGAAGCGUGAGUGACGGUAAUGGGUAAAGAAGCACCGGCUAACUACGUG
Molecule: ribosomal RNA, 473 nt
Filed under: uncultured bacterium
Lineage: Bacteria
Description: partial 16S ribosomal RNA
Rfam family: Bacterial small subunit ribosomal RNA
Source: RNAcentral